UGCAUAUUGACCACCGGACACCGGAUGUUGGCCUACCCUAUUAGGCCAGCGCGCACGUCUAUCAUUGUGGCCUCUUUAAUGCUUGCAAUCCUGCAUGCAAGACUGGGGCUGUAAUGGUAUGACAGAGGAGUGACAGGUAUGCGACCUGUCACCGGGUGAGUCAACAAUGAAAAAUAAGUAUUAACUGAACUAUGCAGAGUUGAUUACCUUAUGCUAUAUUAUUAGAAACUUAAAAAUAGUGUAAAAAUCAUUGAAAUCGAACUUAAAUCUAGUGGACGAAACUUCUACAUAUCUACAACCAGAAUCGGUAACCUAAAUUGUGCCUCGUUGCCCCACUUCAUUGCUACACAAAGGACAGUUUCCUACUAUCAAAACCGGAUUACCACUAAUUUGCUUUGAACGGACACAAUGUUACUCAAAGGGAACUAAACGUAAGUAAACAUGAGAAUUGAAAUUCAUAUGCACACUUCCCACAGGGGUUCACAAACUUAUCGUGGCGUACCACACGCCCUAAACUAUAUUUAUUUUAAGAAAUUAAAAUGAUACUAAAAUGAAUUUAUACGUUCCAACUAGGAAAAUUAUAUUCUCCUUUGCAACCACAACUGGAUCG
Molecule: long non-coding RNA, 610 nt
Organism: Aedes aegypti (yellow fever mosquito)
Lineage: Eukaryota; Metazoa; Arthropoda; Insecta; Diptera; Culicidae
Exons: 3
Source: RefSeq, a predicted model, not a curated record